ACCAGCUAACGAGUCCCAAAUAAGACGAAAUGCGCAUCCUAGAU
This 44-nucleotide non-coding RNA is filed under the name Trichobilharzia regenti. The record is from RNAcentral. Lineage: Eukaryota; Metazoa; Platyhelminthes; Trematoda; Strigeidida; Schistosomatidae.